RNAcentral lists this long non-coding RNA (206 nucleotides) under Elaeis guineensis (African oil palm). Its description in RNAcentral is "long non-coding RNA (EGUI_LNC063208)". Lineage: Eukaryota; Viridiplantae; Streptophyta; Magnoliopsida; Arecales; Arecaceae. The record is from RNAcentral.
GUCAGAGAGUGGUGGAGCCAUGCGAAAUCCAUUGUAAAGAGUGGAGUGGUAUAGUGGCCAUUGUUGUGACUUGCCAGAGAGUUCAGAUCUGUCGGUGGGAGCUCGACUGGGAUGUCUGACGGAGCAGAAUGGCUCUCUAUCUCGUCGGUCUAGGAGAAGCUCGGAUGUUUCCAAGGUUGUGAUGGGUCUACUGUUGUUAGGUGCCU